CGCAGCCGCGGUAAUUCCAGCUCCAAUAGCGUAUAUUAAAGUUGUUGCAGUUAAAAAGCUCGUAGUUGAAUUUCGGGGUCAGUAGAUUGGUCGUGCCACUGGUAUGUACUGGUCUCACUGGCUCCUCCUUCCUGAUGAACCGUAAUGCCAUUAAUUUGGUGUUGCGGGGAGACUGGACUGUUACUUUGAAGAAAUUAGAGUGUUUAAAGCAGGCUAACGCUUGAAUACAUUAGCAUGGAAUAAUGAAAUAGGACGUUCGAUCUUAUUUUGUUGGUUUCUAAGAUUGACGUAAUGAUUAAUAGGGAUAGUUGGGGGCAUUAGUAUUCAAUUGUCAGAGGUGAAAUUCUUGGAUUUAUUGAAGACUAACUACUGCGAAAGCAUUUGCCAAGGAUGUUUUCAUUAAUCAAGAACGAAAGUUAGGGGAUCGAAGACGAUCAGAUACCGUCGUAGUCUUAACCAUA
RNAcentral lists this unclassified non-coding RNA (461 nucleotides) under uncultured Glomus. Its description in RNAcentral is "SSU rRNA". It matches the Rfam family "Eukaryotic small subunit ribosomal RNA", at positions 569 to 1034 of the family's 1831-position model. The record is from RNAcentral. Lineage: Eukaryota; Fungi; Glomeromycota; Glomeromycetes; Glomerales; Glomeraceae.